This 407-nucleotide long non-coding RNA is filed under the name Homo sapiens (human). RNAcentral describes it as "HSALNT0091144". Lineage: Eukaryota; Metazoa; Chordata; Mammalia; Primates; Hominidae. The record is from RNAcentral.
GUUUGUCUUCGGCUCCACGGGCAAGAAAUCAUGAUAAUUUAAAUUCUGAAUCAUGGAAUUGGACUUAAAAAACAAUUGAGUUUUGGAGCUUCUAGCAGUAGAAUCAACUGGGAGGACCCAAUUUCAUCCAAUUUGUAGCUUGAUUUCAUCCAGCAAGACAUACUUAAGCAUAAAGACCUAAAAGUGGUAGGUGUUGUAUUGAAAUAGCAUCACACUUAGGGUGCAAUGAGGCAUAAAGUAAUGCUGAAUGCUUUACAUUCACUAACACGACAUUAUUCCAGCAUGACACACAAUCCAAAGCUUUUGCAAUUACAGCUGUGACCCCGAAUUAGAUUUUAAAACAUGUAUAUAUGUAUAUGCAUUUUGAAAUUUUCCCUUCAUUUUGUCUGCUAAUAGUUUAGAAAUGC